Molecule: long non-coding RNA, 1153 nt
Organism: Rosa rugosa (rugosa rose)
Lineage: Eukaryota; Viridiplantae; Streptophyta; Magnoliopsida; Rosales; Rosaceae
Exons: 2
Source: RefSeq, a predicted model, not a curated record
CUCACAUUGUCACCCAGAUCUUUCUUAAAACUUAAAAUAUUUGGUUGAAGCUAGUGUUGAACUGGUCUGGUUUUUCAGAUUCCUGCUGAUACAGCGAAAGCUGGAUGCUUCGAUCACGUACUAUCUGUCUGCUAUGAUCGGGAUCACAAGAUUCACGAUCUUUCUGCUAUAGUGACUUUUCAGAACUCACUAAACGUCAGACCGGCCAACUAAGAACAUGGCGGUCCAACUCACAUGUAUAGAUUACUGGAAUAUGUGCUUGCAUCGUUGAAGAGAGAGUACGCUUUCGUUUUUGUUUUCCAUGUGAUUUCACUUCGGUAAGACUAAUUCUUCUCUUCAUUAGAAGCUAAAUUAAACUUAAUUAUAACCAAAGGUAAGAAACCCCAACUAGCCCAACGGAUAUAUAUUUAUGUCUUUGUGAUUUUUUUUUUUUUUCCCGUUACAAAGAUAUGUCUUUGUGUUUAACUUAUCAUGGGUGAAGAGCGACCCUAGGGUGUGAGCACAGAGAACGGCGGCGACAGAUCUGAUCCUCUUCGUCGUGUCUAGCAAAGGAGGGAUCUCUCGGCGUCGAGCGUGGUCCUAGGGUGAAGCAAGGGAAGCAGACUUGAGGCUUGGAACAGGUGCUUUCGAGGUUGUCGUUUGCACAACAGAGGAGGACGGCGUGAUCUUCUGCGGCGACGUUUGGAAUAGGUCAGUUUUGUUAGCGGCGGCGGCUGAAAAGGAGGAUUCUGCUGUGCAGCAGCAGUUGGGAGGUGGCGCUGAUGCCACGCUGGAAGGGCCAUUCGCCAAAAACUGUGGCGGCGGCGGUGAUGAUUGGCAAAGGCAGAAUAGCUUCUACUAUUGCUUUCUUUGGUUGCCGUGGGCCUGGGCCUGAGAUUGGGCUCUUGGGCUUGGUUAUAGUUAUCUAGUUUUGUUACUAUUUGUUAGAAUAAAUGUCUAUGUUAGUGAGAGCAUCUCCAUGAGCCCGUAUGGAAGUACUUAGUGCCAUUGUACCACAAUUGUGUUCUCGGCGUGUGAGAUUAGGUAAAAUAGAUUGCCUGCAGGGCGAGAUUCUUUUGUUAACAUAGACUACUCUGAGCUACGAUUGUUGAAACAGAGUAGUCGAUUUUGUACUAUUCUUAUCUAUGAAACAGCUGCAUACAACUGGUCUGUA